GACAGCUUGCUCUCUAAAGUCUUUCUCCAUCAUUUCUGCUUCUCAAAUUUUUGUAGUUGUCCAUUACUAUGGGCUUUCAGUACAUUCUCCACUUACCUCAGAUUAUUUCACUCCCAUAACAUCUGUGCUUGUUUUACUUAUAUUACUGGCCCAGACCCUGAAGACAUUAACUCUGUAACCUCUGUUCUAACCUUUGGAAUUUACCACCCGUUGGCUCCACUUCUCUCUUCAUACAUUUAUCAGAGUCCAGAGAGAGCCACAUGUCCAUACUGGGCUUCCUAGCUUUGGGUGGAGGACGAAACAGAAGCUCUUUGAAGAUAACUUCCUUCCUGAGUUUUUGAUAUCCAGAAACCUAAGCUCAAGAGGGUAUUAUGUUUUGGAGAAUUGAACCAGUAAUUAAAGAAAGAGAUAAAAGAUGGAGAUCAAGGAAGAGGAAAAACAAAGAUCAAGAUCCAGGCAUGGACAGGAUACAUGAUCUCCACACACAGAUUUUCCAGGAUGGUCCCAAGAGCGAAUAAGUUGGUUUGGGAAGUGUGGUCACAGUGGCCUUGCGCCAUACUGUCAAAAGGCACGGGUCCUCCUCUCAGGAAGCCUGUGCUUUAGUGAGUGAAGCUGCUUUGUUUUAUGACUUGGUGCUUUCACAGCCAAUGCACGUGGCCACCACAGAGCUCCUCUUGGUCUCAUGUCUGGUGGGAGGGAGAGUGCGCUGCAGAACCACUUGGGAGAAGUGGAGCAUCCUUACUCUCAGUUCCAAACUCUGCUCGGCGCAGACGGGGUUCCGGACCAAAAUCCGCAUUUGUCCUUGACUGGGUAGCUGUGAACUGAGCAACCACAAAGUCGGUGGGGGCAAGUGGAGGAAGAGAAGUUCCAAAGAGACAACAGAAGAACUUGCAGGGGUGAGGCAGGAGAAAAGAUGAGCAGAGGAGAAAAGAUAGCCUUGCAGAGACAGACCGAGCUGUGCUGACCUCUAACUCCUGUGUGCGUCAUCCUGGGAGUGUUGGCAAAGGGUGCCAGAAUCCAAUAAAAGAGUUGGAGAACUCAUUCAUUAUCCCACUUGGAACACUGAGAGGUCCCCUCCAAGCCCAGCACCCCCAUGCGGGCACAUGCAGUCCGACCAGAGUCAGUGUUGCAAGAUAACUGACACUUUGAAUCACUGCGAACGCUCUACCUUUAUUGAGGAAUUGGACCAUCUUUGAAGCCACUGCUUUGCUUAUUGUGAUAAUGCGUGGUUAAGUAAAUCGAUAGGGCAGGCUUUCCCCACAUUGCCAAGAGGUGGAAACAGGAUCAGAGGCAUUUGUGGACUUUCCUCAGGCACUGAGUAAGUCCUUGGCUGGAACAGGGACCAAAAGCCCCUUUGCUGGUAUUGUGGCAGGAACCAGGGCUAAUGCCCAUUAAGGCCUCAUCUGCGAGGGAGGUCGGCUGAUGGACCAGAUGUGCCUCCCAGAUGUUCCUCCUAGGCUCAGCCUGUGUGGCAUGAGGGCCUAACCAAGGGGAUUUUUAAUCCCGGGGAAAAUGGUUGUCAUCCAGGGCUGGCUCAAAAACUGGCAAAGUCUGCUGUGAGUGAAACCAAGAAGUAGGGCCAAAAAGCAAAGAGAGGUUUCCAUGAGAUCCUGGGCAGCGGCCGUGGGGCGAGGUGGGGCUGCGGCCCGGAGUGAGGGCGGGCAGGGCCUGUCCACUCGUGUGGAGGCUGCCAGCAUGCUGGUCUGGGGCGUCCUUGCUGUGCUGUGGCUGACUGCAGUUCCUUCUCCUCUCUGGGUCUGUUUUCUCCUCCAUCGGCCUCCCUGCUCCAGAACUGGGAGGGAGAUAGAUCCAAGUACGUGAGGAGAAUAUCUGGCCAACAGUCAAAUUCAUGGCGGAGGCCAUGACUGUUACUGAGGGAGGUGAGUUUAGGAGGUGGCUGUCGGAAUGUCUGGAGGGCCCAGAGGAAACCCUGGAGCCCUGGGUGUGUUUAAACGUGUCUAUCAUUCUAGGCUCAGAGGAGUCUGCUCCUGCAGAACCUCAGUGGAGCGGAGGGGUUUUCUGCGGUUGAGGCAGGGAGGGCCCUGUAGCCCCAUCCCCUUCUGCCUCUCCAUCACCUCUCUCAGUGGUUUCUAAGGCAAGAUGCAGGAUCCUGGGGCUUCCAUGGAACACAGUUUAGAAAUCCCUGGGGAAGCCUAAUUAAUUCCACAAGUUAUCAGGCAAACUGGGGAACCUGUGCCUCAUAUGGGCUCUUGGGUGGCUCCAACUGCUCCCUCAGGAGUCUGGCCAAGAGCAGGGGGUUGGGAGGCCUGUUCAUUUGCCAAGCCAGGCCUGCUGCUCCACAGCCCAGGGGUCGGCCCUGCUGCUAGAAGGACGGAGGUGGGAGCUCCUACCAGGGCAGGUGCCACCAGUGACUGAGGAAUCCAUUUCCCUUGGGGGCCAGAGGGGUGAAGGGUUGACAGUGCAAAGAAGCAGGAGCUAAGCCAAGAAGAGCAGCCACUU
RNAcentral lists this long non-coding RNA (2460 nucleotides) under Equus caballus (horse). RNAcentral describes it as "lncRNA (ENSECAG00000038230.2)". Lineage: Eukaryota; Metazoa; Chordata; Mammalia; Perissodactyla; Equidae. The record is from RNAcentral.